Molecule: long non-coding RNA, 213 nt
Organism: Bombus impatiens (common eastern bumble bee)
Lineage: Eukaryota; Metazoa; Arthropoda; Insecta; Hymenoptera; Apidae
Exons: 2
Source: RefSeq, a predicted model, not a curated record
CGAGAACGAAAUUACUAGCUGGGGCAAAUGUUUUUGGAACUGAUAAUAGAAUGCCUGGCUUUGGUUAGUGGGUCGACGUUUUCAGCCCAUUUUCGGCAGCAAUUAAUCUUGGUAUCUACUAAUAUGAUCAAUACGCAAGCAACUAUACGAAAACAGAAAAUAUGUUCGAUAAGAGUCGAUUUAGUACCCGGUGCUUUUAUAUGGCGGAACGGA